Molecule: ribosomal RNA, 259 nt
Filed under: uncultured prokaryote
Description: partial 16S ribosomal RNA
Rfam family: Bacterial small subunit ribosomal RNA
Source: RNAcentral
UACGUAGGGCGCAAGCGUUGUCCGGAAUUAUUGGGCGUAAAGAGCUCGUAGGCGGUUUGUCACGUCUGCUGUGAAAUCCCGAGGCUCAACCUCGGGCGUGCAGUGGGUACGGGCAGACUAGAGUGCGGUAGGGGAGACCGGAAUUCCUGGUGUAGCGGUGGAAUGCGCAGAUAUCAGGAGGAACACCGAUGGCGAAGGCAGGUCUCUGGGCCGCAACUGACGCUGAGGAGCGAAAGCAUGGGUAGCGAACAGGAUUAGA